CCUACGGGAGGCAGCAGUGAGGAAUAUUGGACAAUGGGCGCAAGCCUGAUCCAGCCAUGCCGCGUGCAGGAAGACGGUCCUAUGGAUUGUAAACUGCUUUUGUACGGGAAGAAACACUCCUUCGUGAAGGAGCUUGACGGUACCGUAAGAAUAAGGAUCGGCUAACUCCGUGCCAGCAGCCGCGGUAAUACGGAGGAUCCAAGCGUUAUCCGGAAUCAUUGGGUUUAAAGGGUCCGUAGGCGGUUUAGUAAGUCAGUGGUGAAAGCCCAUCGCUCAACGGUGGAACGGCCAUUGAUACUGCUAGACUUGAAUUAUUAGGAAGUAACUAGAAUAUGUAGUGUAGCGGUGAAAUGCUUAGAGAUUACAUGGAAUACCAAUUGCGAAGGCAGGUUACUACUAAUGGAUUGACGCUGAUGGACGAAAGCGUGGGUAGCGAACAGGAUUAGAUACCCUGGUAGUCCACGCCGUAAACGAUGGAUACUAGCUGUUGGGGGCAACUUCAGUGGCUAAGCGAAAGUGAUAAGUAUCCACCUGGGGAGUACGUUCGCAAGAAGUAGAAGUUACGAAGUAAGUUAGUUAGGCGNGAGAGNGCGACGGACGACGACGAGGAGGAGG
Molecule: ribosomal RNA, 615 nt
Filed under: uncultured bacterium
Lineage: Bacteria
Description: bacterial SSU rRNA
Rfam family: Bacterial small subunit ribosomal RNA
Source: RNAcentral